This 133-nucleotide ribosomal RNA is filed under the name Weissella sp. enrichment culture. RNAcentral describes it as "partial 16S ribosomal RNA". It matches the Rfam family "Bacterial small subunit ribosomal RNA", at positions 337 to 469 of the family's 1533-position model. The record is from RNAcentral. Lineage: Bacteria; Bacillati; Bacillota; Bacilli; Lactobacillales; Lactobacillaceae.
GCCUACGGGAGGCAGCAGUAGGGAAUCUUCCACAAUGGGCGAAAGCCUGAUGGAGCAACGCCGCGUGUGUGAUGAAGGGUUUCGGCUCGUAAAACACUGUUGUAAGAGAAGAAUGACAUUGAGAGUAACUGUU